UUAUCAGAAUCCACAUGGGGACUCCAGGUUGCAAACCAAACGUCAUAUCACUACUAGAAAAAGUAGCUCCAGUACUGGUUGGGAACCCCCUCUAAGUACCAGUUGCACAACCAGUACUAGCCAAUUAAUAAUAGAGGGGUCCUCUAGUACCAGUUGGAAUAACCGGUACUAGAUGGUAUUAAAAAAUUAAAAAAAAGCAAAUCCCCCCCACCCCCCGCCGCCCC
RNAcentral lists this long non-coding RNA (224 nucleotides) under Setaria viridis. Its description in RNAcentral is "long non-coding RNA (SVIR_LNC008959)". Lineage: Eukaryota; Viridiplantae; Streptophyta; Magnoliopsida; Poales; Poaceae. The record is from RNAcentral.